GGGGUUGUGGCUCAGUGAUAGAGUGCUUGCUUAGCAUGCAUAAGGCACUAGGUUCGAUCCUCAGCCCCA
This 69-nucleotide transfer RNA is filed under the name Ictidomys tridecemlineatus (thirteen-lined ground squirrel). RNAcentral's name for it is "Spermophilus tridecemlineatus (thirteen-lined ground squirrel) tRNA". It matches the Rfam family "tRNA". From Rfam's summary of the family: Transfer RNA (tRNA) molecules are approximately 80 nucleotides in length. The record is from Rfam by way of RNAcentral. Lineage: Eukaryota; Metazoa; Chordata; Mammalia; Rodentia; Sciuridae.